AACGACCGUCGACAACGUCUGGAAGAGGACGACGAGGACGCUGACGGAGGGGGCGGGAUGGUGUACGGAUCGGCGCCGAUCCAGAACGCAAGGGGGACGGUCCCCGUACCGUCUAGCCUAAAACUGAUAUGGUACAGGUGCAGGCAGUGAACCGGUACAUUCAGUACGGUAUUCGAUAUCGACUUCUCAUUAAUUUCAAUGUUGGUUUACUCCGUACCACUUUCGGGACGGUACCUGUCGCAUCCCUAAUAUAUGCGAAAGAAAAAUAAAUAAUAAAUUAGAAAAAUCAGCUUUAUUAUUCUAAUUGGAUAGUCAAUAGUCCUUGUUCUGCGCCUGCGCAACUGAGAGAACAAAACCAUCUCACAAAAGAAAUCCCGGAGAUCACGCUGGUGAACCUCAAAUAGUCGUUUUCAUCGUUCAGCUAUAAAACCGAAGCUUAGUCCUCCUAAACACCAUCUCCCCUCCUUCACUCCAUCAGAUUUUCUGGUUUGAGUCUUACAUGGUAACCGAGGGAUCCUAUUAACCUUAUUUGAUGUUAACGAUUGUAUCUAUGCUUAUUUGAGUCUUAAGGGUUGUAAGUCUUACAUGGUAACCGAGGAAUAUUACAUUGGUAGCAUGCACGACGUUUUUCUAAGCUUUAAUUAAAUUCGGAAAUACAAGUGGUAAUCAACAAUCAAGUUAGCCAAUCCAUACCACAUCAAAAGAGAAUACGUGUUACAGCUAAAAGACGUAUGUAAACAUAAAUUUAACUAUUUAAGACAAUAUAUAUUUGGUCUAGAUUUCGAGCCCGGGGUCUCACUGGAAGCAGCCUCUCUAUUCCUACGAGAUAGAGGCGAUCAACAAUUUAGGGAUGUUAUUGGUGCCAAUGCCCUUCCAAAUAUCAGAAGAGAAUUUCUAGUGCAACUCAAAGAUGUACGGAGCUUGCUCGUGGGUGAAUGGCUACCGAUUUUGAGCAUGGGUUCAGGGGCCACCAUUGUUAUUGUCUCUACGCCUAAUACUAGGCCUCACAAGCAAGCGUGCCUUGAGCUUUGGGGUACACCUGAGGCAGUUGAUAACGCAAACCGUGCAAUUUCGAAUAAAAUAAGUUGGGGAUAUCCGGAAUCAGUCCAGCACCCAUAUCCAUCAUUGUUGCUUUUAGAUGUUGCAAUUCUUAAAAGAUUUGUUCCCUUACGCCAGCUUGGGGCUCUGUUUGGCAUACUUGACAUGCGGGUUAUGCAUUUGGAAUGUUGUAUUGGUGCAUGAAUUAAGGUGACCCCAUUUGACAUCUAUCACAUUAAAGGGGGGAAUAUGUCCGAUACUAUACAGUUUAUUGUGAACCACAUCGUGUGCAAGAAGUACGGGAUUUACUUGAUGGUUACUUGGCACCGCAUAUUCCUUAAACAACAAACUGAGAUUGUGGCAACAUAUGUAGUUUGUGGUGAUUUAUAUACUAUUUAACAAAUGAGCUGGCUUUAUAUUGCACUAAAAUUUAAACAAGUCAACCUAUCAUUUUGUUUAA
Molecule: long non-coding RNA, 1498 nt
Organism: Helianthus annuus (common sunflower)
Lineage: Eukaryota; Viridiplantae; Streptophyta; Magnoliopsida; Asterales; Asteraceae
Exons: 8
Source: RefSeq, a predicted model, not a curated record